Molecule: long non-coding RNA, 4768 nt
Filed under: Olea europaea subsp. europaea
Lineage: Eukaryota; Viridiplantae; Streptophyta; Magnoliopsida; Lamiales; Oleaceae
Source: RNAcentral
CUUUUUUCGAAAACAUUAUUUUGCUAGUAUGACUUCUCGAGUUGAAUUGGUACAAUUCAAUGGUAGGGGAGAUUAUUCCAUUUGGAAGCAAAAAAUGAAAGCUAUUUUAAUUCAACAAAAAGUUUCUAAAGCUCUUGGCGAUCUGAAAAAAUAUACCGAUACAUUAAAAGCUAAACCGGAUGAAAUUACUAAGAUGAAUGAAAUUGCACAUAGUUUGAUUAUAUUGCAUUUAUCUGAUGAUGUGUUAGGACAAGCUGAACGACAUAAGACUGCCAAAGAGUUUGGGAAGCACUUGACAAGAUUUUUUUGGAACAAUCUCUUCCAAACAAAAUACAUUUGCUUCAAAAACUGUUUAGUUUUAAGCUGGACCCGGAGAAGGAUCUUGAAUCAAAUUUGAGUGACUUUAACAUACUCGUCAAGUCUUUGGCCCACAAUGACAAGAAAUUUGAUGAUGAGUAUCUAACGGUUAUACUUUUAAAUGCUACGCCUGAAUCUUAUAGAGAUGUUAGGAAUGCUAUCUCGUAUGCUAGGGACACUUUGACCCAAGAUAUUAUGACUGAUGCUUUGAGGGUUAGGGAGCUAGAGUUUAAGAAACAGUCGAGGGGUAGCUUGAGAGAAGAGAGUUUGUUUGCUAGAUGGAGGAAUGAGAGGAGGGAGAACCAUUUUCAAAGUAAGAAGGCAAAGAAAAAUUGAAUGGUAGGUCUAAGUCUAGAGAUAAGAAUGGUAAGAAAUGCUUCCAUUGUGGCAAGUUAGGACAUUUCAAGAAAGACUGUAAUGACCUUAAAAAGAAACAAAGAUCGCAGCACAAUGAUGAUCAGAACUUAGUUGCUAUAAGUGAUUCCCUCGAUUGCCUACAUGUUAUGAUCAUGUCAGGAGAUUUUGACACCGAGGUAAAUGGUGCUCGUGAUAACAUACAUGUCAUGAAUGUUUCUAAUAUUGAUUUUGACACUUAGUGGGUAUUAGACUCAGGUGCUAUUGUUCAUAUGUGUCCUGUAAAAUCUUGGUUCUAUAAUUAUAGAGAUGUGAAUCCUAGAAAAGUAUACUUAAGGGAUGAUCGUACACACAAUGUAGAAGGAGUAGGUGAUAUUGCUAUUAGGAUGCAUGAUGACAUUAUCAGACCCUUUAGAGGUGUUAGGUAUGUCCCGGGCCUGGCAAGGAAUCUCAUUUCCUUAGGCACUCUAGAAGAAGAAGGUCAUGAGUUCAAAUCUUAUGCUGGUACUUUAAAGAUUUGUAAAGGAUCUCUAGUUGUUAUGAAAGGUCCUAAGAAUAAUGGGUUAUAUGUCAUUCAAGGUAAAACCUUGGAUAGCAAAGAGUCGGCAUUAUCUUUAGUUUGUGAAGAUAAAUCAGAUCUUUGGCAUAAGAGGAUGGGACACAUUGGGAUCAAAGGAUUGAAAUACCUUAGUGACUAGAAUUUACUUGAUAAGGAUAAUGUUACACCUUUAAGUUUUUGCAAGACGUGUGUUCUAAGAAAGUUACACAGGCUUAGCUUUGGGAAAGGCGAACACAGCACUAAGAGACCAUUGGACUACAUUUAUGCAGAUUUGUGGGGUCUUAAAAAACACCCCACACAUGGAGGAAAUAGAUUUUUUCUAUCCAUUGUUGAUGAUCACUCAAGGAAAGUUUGGGUGUAUCUCCUUAAAUUCAUAUCUGAAACUUUUAGUAAGUUUAAGUCUUGGCUUGCCUUAGUUGAAAAUCAAAUGGAAAAGGGUGUGAAAACUCUUAGGGCGGAUAAUGGUUUAGAGUUUUGCAACUUCGAAUUUGAUAAUUUCUGCAAGGGAAAGGGUAUAAUGAGGCACAGGACUGUAAGACAUACCCCUCAACAAAAUGGGGGUAGCAGAGAGAAUGAAUCGGACUUUAAUGAAUAAAGUCAGGUGUGUGAUGAUUAAUUCUGGGUUGUCUAAAGGUUUCUGGGGUGAAACCGUGUGCACUGCUACCUAUUUAAUAAAUAGGUCACCUUCUAGUUCUGUUAACUUCAAGACUCCUCAAGAGUUGUGGUCUAGAAAAUCCCCAGAUUUGUCACAUAUUAGAGUGUUUGGUUGUAUGGCUUAUGCACAUCAGGUUGAGGGCAAAUUGGACCCUAAGGCUACUAAGUGUGUUAUGUUAGGUUAUCCAGAGGGAGUAAAAUGAUAUAGACUAUGGAUUCUAGGUGUAAAGGGCAUUAAGAUUAUUAACAGUAAAGAUAUAAAGUUCAAUGAACUUGAUAUGCUUUGUCUUAAAAAUCUAGUAAGUCAGAGCAAACAUACUGAGGAAGGAGAAUCUUCUACUGGAAAGAAGAUGAAAUUUGAGGCAAAGAGAUUAGGUUAUACUCUAGAGGAUAGUGAAAUUCAACCUCAAGAAGAAUCUGAUCAAGAAGCAGUGAUAGAACAACCUGAACUUCAAAUUCCUGAAACUAUUGUCUCUAAUCAAGAAACAUCUGCAUGUUCUAAUUUUGAUGAUUACCAAUUAGUGAGGGAUAGAGAGAGAAGACAAGUGAAGCCCAAUUUGAAAUACAUCUCUUCAAAUUUGAUGGAAUUUGUCCUAGUUUCAGGUGAAACCUUGGAGUCAAUUGAACCGACUUCAUUUGAGGAAACGAUUAACCGUGAAAAUUCUGAAAGUUGGAAAAAGGCAAUGAGAGAAGAGAUCCAGUCUCUAAACAAAAAUGAGACUUGGAAAUUGGUUGAAAAAUCAAAGAAUCAAAAGGUAGUCCAUUGUAAAUGGAUCUACAAGUUAAAAGAAGUAGUAGGACCUAAAGACCCUUUAACAUACAAAACUAGGUUGGUUGCGAAGGGAAUUACUCAGAGAGAAGGGAUAGACUAUAAUGAGAUAUUCUCAUCGAUUAUUAAGUAUAAAACUAUUAGGUUAGUCUUAGCCUUAAUUGUCCAGUAUGAUUGGGAGUUGGAGCAACUAGAUUUUAAGAUGGCUUUUCUUCAUGGGGAGUUAGAUGAAUUGAUUUACAUGUCUCAACCUCAAGAGUUCGAGGUGAAGGGAAAAUCAGAAUUGUGUGUUUGCUUAUAAAGUCCUUAUAUGAUCUUAAGCAGAGUCCUAGGCAAUGGUAUAAGAGAAUUAAUGCUUAUAUGCUUAAAAUUGAUUUUAAGAGGAGGGAAUUUGAUGCAUGUUUAUAUUUUAAUAACUCUAAAAUAGACUGUGAAGUUUAUUUAUUAUUAUAUGUGGAUGAUAUGUUGCUUACUAGUCCUAGUAAAGUUGAAAUCAUAAAGAUGAAAAACCUUUUAAAAUCGGAAUUUGAGAUAAAAGACUUAUGAGAGACAAGAAAAAUCCUUGGCAUGGUUAUUAAAAGAAAUAUGGCUGAUAAUAGGAUGACUAUUAAUCAAGAGUCUUAUUUGGAUAAAGUGAUAACCAAAUUUGGUAUGAAAUUUGCUAAGUCUGUCAAUAAACCAUUAGCUGCACACACGAACUUAUCAUUUGCACAAUACCCUAAAACUGAAGAAGAAAUGCAUGAAAUGAGUAAUGUUCCCUAUGCUAAUGUCAUUGGGUCUGUAAUGUAUUCUAUGAUUACCACAAGAUCGGACCUUGCAUAUGUAGUUAGUUUCUUGAGUAUGUUUAUGUCUAACCCAGGUAAACCACAUUGGACUGCACUUAAAUGGCUAUUAAGAUAUCUAGCUGGAUCUUUGAAAGGGGGAUUAGUAUUUGAAAGAAGAAGUAACAAAUUAGAACUUAAAGGAUAUGUAGAUUCUGACUUUGCGGGUGAUAAAGAUCAGAGGAAAUCUACCACUUCUUACUUCUUCACUUUUAGUUGAUAAUUGUAUCACUUGAAAAUCACAGUUGCAACCUAUAGUUACACUUUCCAGCACUGAAGCAGAAUAUGUUGCAUUAAAUGAAGCUGUAAAUGAAUGCAUGUGGCUGAAAGGCCUUCUAUGUGAAUUAAACUUCUUGAAUGAUAAUGCCAUGAUUUUACUGAUAGUCAAAGUUCAUUGAUGUUGUGUAAAAAUCCUGUUUAUUAUGAACUUAUUAAGCAUAUUGAGGUGAAGUAUCACUUCAUUAGGGAGAGGUUAGCUUCUGGUGAUUUUAUUUUGCUUAAAAUUGUAACUGAUGAUAACCCUGCGGAUGUUGGAACAAAAGUACUUGCGGUUAGUAAGUUCAACAUAUGUUUAUCAAUACUAAGUAUUGAUAAUGGUUAAUUGUUGUGCAGGUACUAAGCUGGAGUGAGCGAUGCUGAUAACAAUAAGACCACACUAAUGGAUAUCACUUGCAACCAGGGAAUUUGACGAUGGAUAUUAUGUGAUCCAAGGUGAAGAUUUGUAAGGUGGAUCACAUCCUAUUAUUGGUGCAAGUUGAUUGGUCUAGAGAAUGUGACUUGGAUUGUGCUAGUUAUAGAGUAAUAUGGACCAUAGAUUAAAUCUAAUUGUUAGAUUUAAUCUUGUGGUCAAUUACCUAUACUAGUGUUGUCACUCUCUUGACCAUAGUACAAUAUUUGAAUUUUGAAUUCAAAUGAAUUGGCUCUAUAAUUACAAGAUUUCUUCAUUCUCUCAUACUUUGAUUUUGGCAUAACAUUUGAUAGAGAGCAUAGAGAGGUAACCAAGUGGGAGCUUUCCAUAAUUCCAGCGAAAUUCUUGGUGGCUUCCGGUGGAUCUUUUCUCGGUAUAUUCAUUGUCAUUCUCGUGGACGACGGUGCAUGAUCUGGUGUGGCACAAAUCUGAGCUCAACAUCAAGAACACUUCAUUGGUGGUGUUGAAGAAGUUUUGAGUCGUUUUGGUUCGGUUUUACACUUUGAGAGUUUAUUAUUCCGCAUUGUAGUUGUAAUAAUAUUUUAUAAACUACACUUUAAACUCUA